RNAcentral lists this ribosomal RNA (347 nucleotides) under uncultured bacterium. RNAcentral describes it as "bacterial SSU rRNA". It matches the Rfam family "Bacterial small subunit ribosomal RNA", at positions 8 to 334 of the family's 1533-position model. The record is from RNAcentral.
AGGGUUUGAUUAUGGCUCAGGACGAACGCUGGCGGCGUGCUUAACACAUGCAAGUCGAACGGAGUUAAUUAGACGGAAGCCUUCGGGUGGAAGACGGAUUAACUUAGUGGCGGACGGGUGAGUAACGCGUGAGCAACCUGCCUUUCAGAGGGGGACAACAGUUGGAAACGACUGCUAAUACCGCAUAAGAUAGCAGCUUCGCAUGGAGCAGCUAUAAAAGGAGCAAUCCGCUGAAAGAUGGGCUCGCGUCCGAUUAGCUAGUUGGUGAGAUAACAGCUCACCAAGGCGACGAUCGGUAGCCGGACUGAGAGGUUGAACGGCCACAUUGGGACUGAGACACGGCCCAG